GAUGAACGCUGGCGGCGUGCCUAAUACAUGCAAGUCGAGCGAACAGACGAGGAGCUUGCUCCUCUGACGUUAGCGGCGGACGGGUGAGUAACACGUGGAUAACCUACCUAUAAGACUGGGAUAACUUCGGGAAACCGGAGCUAAUACCGGAUAAUAUAUUGAACCGCAUGGUUCAAUAGUGAAAGACGGUUUUGCUGUCACUUAUAGAUGGAUCCGCGCCGCAUUAGCUAGUUGGUAAGGUAACGGCUUACCAAGGCAACGAUGCGUAGCCGACGUGAGAGGGGGAUCGGCCACACUGGAACUUGAACACGGUCCAGACUCCUACGGGAGGCAGCAGUAGGGAAUCUUCCGCAAUGGGCGAAAGCCUGACGGAGCAACGCCGCGUGAGUGAUGAAGGUCUUCGGAUCGUAAAACUCUGUUAUUAGGGAAGAACAAAUGUGUAAGUAACUAUGCACGUCUUGACGGUACCUAAUCAGAAAGCCACGGCUAACUACGUG
Molecule: ribosomal RNA, 497 nt
Filed under: uncultured bacterium
Lineage: Bacteria
Description: partial 16S ribosomal RNA
Rfam family: Bacterial small subunit ribosomal RNA
Source: RNAcentral